This 508-nucleotide ribosomal RNA is filed under the name uncultured bacterium. RNAcentral describes it as "partial 16S ribosomal RNA". It matches the Rfam family "Bacterial small subunit ribosomal RNA", at positions 28 to 523 of the family's 1533-position model. The record is from RNAcentral.
GAUGAACGCUAGCUACAGGCUUAACACAUGCAAGUCGAGGGGAAACGAUAGAGAAAGCUUGCUUUUUCUAGGCGUCGACCGGCGCACGGGUGAGUAACGCGUAUCCAACCUGCCCAUCACUUGGGGAUAACCUUGCGAAAGUAAGACUGAUACCCAAUGGUAUCUCUAGAAGACAUCUGAAGGAGAUUAAAGAUUUAUCGGUGAUGGAUGGGGAUGCUUCUGAUUAGCUUGUUGGCGGGGUAACGGCCCACCAAGGCGACGAUCAGUAGGGGUGCUGAGAGGAAGGUCCACCACAUUGGAACUGCGACACGGUCCAAACUCCUACGGGAGGCAGCAGUGAGGAAUAUUGGUCAAUGGGCGAGAGCCUGAACCAGCCAAGUAGCGUGCAGGAUGACGGCCCUAUGGGUUGUAAACUGCUUUUAUAAGGGAAUAAAGUGAGUCUCGUGAGGCUUUUUGCAUGUACCUUAUGAAUAAGGACCGGCUAAUUCCGUGCCAGCCGCCGCCGUAA